CUAAGAGCGUAACGUCUAGGUGUUUUUGUUAUUUUUAAAGAGUUUUCAUAUUCUUGUCUAUCUUCCGGGGAUAACCUUGCAAUAUUUUCAUUCUUCAUUGGAAUAUAUUUCGGCCUCUCGCGAAGUAAUCUUUGUUCGUAACCUUCUCUUUGUUCAGGGGUCAUCAUUACCAAAUCUUGGGGCCUCCAAUCUGUAGAGUCUACCCAAUUGUGGAAAAAGUUGCGCUUGAGUUUUGGCCGUUCCUCUUCUGUUGGUGGUGGUGUAAGGAAAUUAGGUUUAGGUGUAGCAGGCACUGGUGGUACUAUCUCGACAGAUUCAUUGUGUUGUGGCAUCUCUGCAGGCACGAAUGGAGUUGUCUGAACAGGAGCUUGAGUCGGAACAUCCAUCUUAUUUUUGAAUGUUAAAAACCGAUUUAGUUGAUCAGAGUAUAAUUUGCUUUUUUCCACUGCGCUAAGCUGUGGUGCAUCCAUGAUCUCUUUCAUUCUGUGUUCGGCAUCAUACAUCGCGCUUGCAAGUGGUGGUUGACGAUACGACUGUUUGUGUAAAAACUUUGCAAUCUCGCCGGGAAGUACGUUUGUCUUGAGUCGAUCUUGGUCACUCGUUGUCGGCUUUAAAUCCAGCAUCAAAUAUCCGUGAGGCCGGCUCGUAGCAUCUUCAUAACUCCUCAUAAACUCUUG
Molecule: non-coding RNA, 677 nt
Organism: Paramuricea clavata
Lineage: Eukaryota; Metazoa; Cnidaria; Anthozoa; Malacalcyonacea; Plexauridae
Source: the annotation of a GenBank genome assembly